This 98-nucleotide signal recognition particle RNA is filed under the name Aristophania vespae. RNAcentral's name for it is "Bacterial small signal recognition particle RNA". It matches the Rfam family "Bacterial small signal recognition particle RNA". From Rfam's summary of the family: The signal recognition particle (SRP) is a universally conserved ribonucleoprotein involved in the co-translational targeting of proteins to membranes. Lineage: Bacteria; Pseudomonadati; Pseudomonadota; Alphaproteobacteria; Acetobacterales; Acetobacteraceae. The record is from Rfam by way of RNAcentral.
GGAAGGUCAGCGCUGGACGGUUGGCUCGCGAACCCGGUCAGGUCCGGAAGGAAGCAGCCGCAGUGAUUUCCAGUCGGGUCAGAUGUUGGCCUUCCACC